GGCCUUGACAUACUAAGAACUUUCAGAGAUGGAUUGGUGCCUUCGGGAACUUAGAUACAGGUGCUGCAUGGCUGUCGUCAGCUCGUGUCGUGAGAUGUUGGGUUAAGUCCGCAACGAGCGCAACCCUUUUCCUUAUUUGCCAGCGGGUAAUGCCGGGAACUUUAAGGAUACUGCCAGUGACAAACUGGAGGAAGGCGGGGACGACGUCAAGUCAUCAUGGCCCUUACGGCCAGGGCUACACACGUGCUACAAUGGUCGGUACAAAGGGUUGCUACCUCGCGAGAGGAUGCUAAUCUCAAAAAGCCGAUCGUAGUCCGGAUCGCAGUCUGCAACUCGACUGCGUGAAGUCGGAAUCGCUAGUAAUCGCGGAUCAGAAUGCCGCGGUGAAUACGUUCCCGGGCCUUGUACACACCGCCCGUCACACCAUGGGAGUUUGUUGCACCAGAAGUAGGUAGUCUAACCGCAAGGAGGACGCUUACCACGGUGUGGCCGAUGACUGGGGUGAAGUCGUAACAAGGUAAGCGUAGAUGA
This 531-nucleotide ribosomal RNA is filed under the name uncultured bacterium. RNAcentral's name for it is "bacterial SSU rRNA". It matches the Rfam family "Bacterial small subunit ribosomal RNA", at positions 977 to 1509 of the family's 1533-position model. The record is from RNAcentral.